Molecule: ribosomal RNA, 252 nt
Filed under: uncultured bacterium
Lineage: Bacteria
Description: partial 16S ribosomal RNA
Rfam family: Bacterial small subunit ribosomal RNA
Source: RNAcentral
UACGGAGGGUGCAAGCGUUAUCCGGAUUUAUUGGGUUUAAGGGUCCCUAGGCGGGUCUGGAAGGUAGGGGGGAAAUCUCACAGCUUAACUGUGAAACUGCCAUUGAUACUGCAGGUCUUGAGUGUUAUUGAAGUAGCUGGAAUAAGUAGUGUAGCGGUGAAAUGCAUAGAUAUUACUUAGAACACCAAUUGCGAAGGCAGGUUACUAAGCAACAACUGACGCUGAUGGACGAAAGCGUGGGGAGCGAACAGG